Molecule: long non-coding RNA, 7740 nt
Filed under: Sus scrofa (pig)
Lineage: Eukaryota; Metazoa; Chordata; Mammalia; Artiodactyla; Suidae
Description: lncRNA (ENSSSCG00005000487.1)
Source: RNAcentral
CCUGCUGUUAUUAUGAGAGGUAACAAUGUGAUCUGCCUCAGGCACCUCUCUCUCCAUCCAUGCCAGGCAGGUCAUUUUCCUUUUAUCAGAAAGGAGGGUAGGUCAUCGCAUUUCAGUGCAUGUUGACACCACUGCUAAUAAAAGCAAGAAAAGAAGUCGUUGCCCUUAAGAUGCCUUAACCUCUCCCUUGCCUCAAACAGAUAUUUCACAGUUCCUCCACGGGAUUUGGGACUGGAAAGUGAUUUGACCCCACACUGCCUUAACCACACAGAUCUGAACCAGGUAACAGGAGAGCUGUGAAGUGCAGGAGAGUCUCUUCACUCAGGGUACCCCCUCUCCUUGGCAAGAAAUAGCAAAAAAAAAAAAAAAGAAAGCAACAGUGAGGGAGUUCCCUGAUGGUCUAGUGGUUAAGGAUUCCACGUUGCCACUGCUGUGGCUUGAGUUACUGCUGUGACUGGGUUCAAUCCCUAGCCUGGGAAGUUCCACAUGCCACGGGGUGGGGGCAGGGGGCAGGUGAAGAAAAGAAAGAAAGAAAGCAACAGUGAGUCAGGACAAUGACUUCUCAAAUAGCAAGAAGUGAACUUAGAGAUCUACUCAUCUAGCUUUCAAACUUUUUACUUUUGUUUUUUCUGUUUUCUUUUUAGGGCAGCACCUGCAGCAUAUGUAAGUUCCCGGGCUAGGGAUCGAACUGGAAUUGUAGCUGCCAGCCACAGCCACAGUCACAGCAAAGCAGGAUCCGAGCCACGUCUGCGACCUAGACUAUAGUUCACGCGAUGCUGGAUCCUUAACCCACCGAUGAGCGAGGCCAGGAAUGGAACCUGCAUCCUCAUGGACACUGUGUCAGGUUCUUAACCCUCUGAGCCACAAAAGGAACACCAAACAUUUUAUGUUUUAAACCAUUACUUUGAAAGAAAUCUUAUCCCAAAGUAUAAACAUAAAAAAUACAUAAAAAGAAGCCAAUCUAUUUGCAGACCUCCACUCCUACAGCUGGGUUCUGGGAGAGCCCAGGACACAGUCUGCCAAUCAGUGCACCAGAGCCUACGACCAUUUGAAAGGGGCAAAACUUGAGAUUUUUGUUGUUUGUUCUUUCAUUCUAUCUUCUUCCUCUCUUAAUGGCCAUAGAGAACUCUCUUCUAGAUGACCUCUGAAAUUUAAAACCCCCAAUGAGAUUUCCCAAUUCACGUGCAGGUAACCUAAGAAACACACUACAAAUAAGAUAUUUUUUACACCUUAUCUUGACAAAGUUUACGCACCUUUUCCAGAAGGUAAGCUGGCAAGAGGCAUCAAAGGGCCUUAAAAACAGUCUGAUCUUUUGACCUAGUUGUUCUAUUUCUAGGAAUUUAUUCACUAAAAAAUAAAUAAAUAAAUCACACAUAAGGGCAUCUGAACAAAUCAGUCAAUGCAGCAUUAUUUAUGCUAAUAAAAAUAAAUGAAAUAAGUUGAAUGGUCAAAAAUAAGAAACUGUUUAAUUUUUAUAGUCAUAUGAUAGCUCCAACAUGCUCUGGCAUUAAAAUGCCUCUACCAUAACAAAAAAUGCAAAAAUUGGUGCCAACUCUUUACAGUAUCAUCUGGAAAAUGUAAAGAUAAAUGGAUGGAUAGACAGACUAUAAAAUUUACUUACUGAUUGAACUGGAUACUAAAUUUAUUACUAUCUUCCUUGGCAAAAGACACACAGGCAUGUUGGAUUAUUUAAAAAGGCAACAUAAAAUUUUAUCUGGAGCUACCUUGCUCACUGACACUAUAUCCUAGUAUAACUGUAAUUAUUGGGAUGCUGAUAAAAAUAUUCUAUUUCCUCAUGUGUUCAUGCUCUACCCUCCUCUUCCUUUAAUAUGAUGUGCAUGAUUGAGGCAGGUGUAAGGAAAGACACGCCAUUAACAAUAAUGAAAUAUUUUGACCUACAACAUCUUCAAAAGGCAUAAAGGGGAGCCUCUGAUUAUAUUUAAACCCCACAAUAAAUCUGUCCCAAAACAUGUGCAUAGAUUAUGCCACAACAGGUGACAGUUUACUUAAGUGUCUGUUUUGUUCCAGACACUACGCCAGAUACUGAAAAUACAACAGACCAACAAAAACACAACCCUUGUGGAGUUCCCAUUGUGGUGCAAUGGAAACCAAUCCAACCAGUAUUCGUGAGGAUGCAGGUUCAAUCCUUGGCCUCGCUCGGUGGGUCGGGGAUCCUGCAUUGCCUCGAGCUGUGGUGUAGGUCCGUUUAGUUCAUGGCUGGGUUCCAGAUCUGACAACAUGGCUCAAUGCACAGUAAGAGCUUAAAAAAUAUUUGUGGAGCGAGAGAAGGAAGGAGAAGACAGGCAGGCAGACCACUCAAAACUGUGGUUUGAGGGCUUGACUAAAACGUGGUAUUAUGAACUAAAAUCUGUAACAGUGGUGGGGAGGGGGUGUCGAAGAGCUGAAACGCAAAGACUGACUGUCUUGAGUUCUAGAGUAUGUUAUCUGCCCAGACAGUGCCUUGAUAAAUCUUUUCUGCUCAGAAAAGGAUAAAGAGGAAACCAGGAAGUGCCUGUGGAGGGCCCAGGGUACUGCACAAAAGCAAGUAUUUCUCAAACAGAAUCUCUCCUUUCGUCCUCACCACAGGACGGAAGUACCCCUACUUCUGCACAUGAAGAAACUGAGACUAAAGGGUGAACUGACUCACUCAAGGUGACACGGCUGGAUGUGGCAGAAGCCAAACUGAAAUUCCCACCCCAUCCACCACACAACACCAGAAGGAAACCAAGUUUAGUCACCAGAAUUUUUCAUAUACUUUAAGAAUAUGGUUGGGCUUUCCCUCAUCCCUUUCUACUUUGGGAUGCUUCUGCAUUCAGAGUCUCAGAUUUACACGGAGAGAUGGCUUUGACGGCCGUAUUUCUGUGUAUCUAAGAAUCUCCUUGCCUAAGCUUGACCUCUGAAGUCUCUAAAACUUGAUCACAGCCAAUUAAACUCCUUGUGUUUGAACUUCUUUACCAUGAAAAAAAAAAAGUCUUAUCCUCCCUUCGUUAUUUUAAAUUUCCCCAAUCCCUGCUUUACAAAUCGUACAAACUGACCUCUCCAUUCCUUUGCAAAAUCACAUAAAAACCAAAGUAAAUGUUUCAUCUUGUCAGCUCAUCCCAGGUACCACUGGGAUCCAGUCCCUUAAACCACCCAGUCCCUUAAACCAAUGGCUGAAAGCUGAGAGGAUAUGCAAGACAAGCCUGAGAGUUUUAACUGGCAGACCUGCUCAGAUCCUCAUUGUGCUGUUUGAAACUCGGACCACAUGAGACAACAGUUCACUUUUUUCACCGUGGCAACAGAUUCAACCUCUUGGCCCUGUGAAAGUCAUCGGAAUAUAUUCAACCAAAAGAAAAAUGAAAAGAGAGAAAGAGAGAGAAAGGAGGAGGGUGAAACUUCCUAUCUUCUGACUGAAGAUAUAUUCAGCACUCUGAUUUUUUUUUAUGCACAUUUGAUCAUGCUGUUGACAGCCCUGGAAGUUAAGGAAUAUGGACUGUUGCACAGAGGUUUCAAACCUGGAUGGAAACCAAUGGCAGGCUCCUUUUGACAGUCGAAUAAUGACAAGCACGUUGCAGGCCAAUGCCCGUCAUUCACCAACAUCUCCGACCUGCUCCAGCCGCUGCACAGCGACUAAGUGGAGGGUCAGAGGUUAAGCUCCAAGAAACCAGCAAUGAAGGGCAACUGUCAUGCACCGCUGCCCAUUGUGAAGCAGCAAGGAGUGGCUGUCUCCUCCAGAACAUGCAAAACGUUCUCAUUCUGUCCAGGCAGAGACACAUCUGAAGGUCCUAAAUGAGACCAUUGCCAAUUCAUGAAGCUCCAAACUGACAGCAUGCCAUUCAAGCUGUCUCCGAUUUGACUUUUUUUUUCCCUAUUUCAAAUCACAAAUGCAUGCAAAGUAUACAGUUAAGCAUAACUCUUCAGCCAUGGUUUUAAGCAUGCUAGGCUUUUAGACACCUACAUAGUCUCAGACACAUACACACUCUCAGAGCCUAAAAAAAAAGGAAAGAAAAUGCAAAAUUCAUUUGGUCUUCUUUAGCGAGUUUCUAAUAAAGGACAUCAUUCAAAAUGGCACAGAGGAACCCAGGUGUCAGUUUUCCAGGAAAGUUCCUAAGUGUGUGCAAAACAAAAUAAUCUUAAAGAGGAAUUAUGUCAUAUUAAUAUCAUAUUAACUAUAAGAACACAAGAAUGUAACUGUGUAUAGAGAGAAUUUUAUUUAGUGAAAGCCAUUUGGUUUUAAGGACACGGUAACUUAUCUAUACAUUUUAUAAUUUUUUAAGAUUUAUCCCAAGAAUAUAGUUCACAAAUGAUUCAGAGUUUAGCACACGACACAAACACAUCCUUCUACAAUUCUACGUUUGAGAUCUUACUGCUUUUUUAUACAGUGAAAUUGAGUGAUCUCCCUUAGAUGUGUGUAUGAACAUUUAUUAACGAAGAGUCUUCUUCAUCUUUAUUGAGUAAAAAGAAAUGUCUCAUCUUAUCCAGAAGCCAAAAGACUGUCACUGCAAGUGACUGGCCAGGAUGGAGAAUUAAGGUAAACAAGACUUCUUAUACCCUUUUCAGCAACAAUAGGAUUUCUAUCCACAAAUAGAGCCAUAAGUGGCCCUCAUCAGGGACAGCUUUAAAGGUAUGAACUCGAAAAUGAACCUUAUAUAAAGCUGUUGGUCUACACCAACUGCGGCACUAAAGUCUCUCUUUAAGCCCUGAUCACUAUCACCCAACCUUCCUUAAGGAAGCCUGGGGAGAGGAGAUAACCUAUCAACUCUAAGGAACAAAGCUUACAAAGACACCCCAUUAUUAAAGCUUGUACAGACAGAGGUCAACUAAUUGCCCUUUGCUCUAGCAACAAGAACAUACAGAGCUAGUCUCCAAUACAGAGCUGCAGAUAACCAAACAUGUUAUUUUAAGUAAUGUAUGAGCAUGCGUCAACCUCCCACUCCCAGGCAAAACCAGCAAUUAUAAUAAACUUAGAUUAUUAUAGGUAGCUGGGGUCAAGAAAAAUAUUUCAAGCCACAAAUACCUAUUGUUUUUGAAAUAAAGUAACCGAGUGAAUAUUCUGCAAUAUAAGAGACCAGAUGAAAAUUUUAAUAUAAAAUGACUUCUCUCUCCUGAGGGAUAACUGAAAAUCCCUUACUUCAUAUUCAGGCAUGUACGGUACACAAAAAAUCACAAAGACGCAAUUCGGAAACAGGAACGCCUUCCCCAAAUCCUUUUCUUUUGGACCUGGGUUGCAAACCUCAAAGUUUAAUGUGAACCAACACAAGACAAAUAAAGGAAAUACGCCUUGACAUAACUACAGAGUAAACCAACGGCACGCAUAUUCUUAACAGAUAACACAGAACAAGAACUUAAAUGGCUUCAAAAACAGAUGAGCUGAUUUAUCCGUCAUAGAUUCACAACAAGUAACAGAGGUAAACCAAGAAUUCAGGAGAGGCAGAUCCUUGAGGAGAUCCCCCAAAAACCUCACAUGGAAAAGUCCAAAGCUCGAGCUACUUAAAUAUCAGCAAACUCAAUACCGUAAGAAAAAGAGGGUCACUGCCAAGCCCAGAUUCAGACGGCUGGGCUAAAUUCCCUCCUCAGGCCUUCCUGCUCUGUGACAUUGCAAAACGGGGGCCCUACUUUUGUGCAGAUGACACACAGGAUACCCACCUAUGGUCCUAAACCGAUCAUUCAUUCCCUUCUUCAAAUAUCUUGGAGGGGGCAGUAACGGCCGUUGGUAGGGGUAAGGCUGGUAGACAAAGGCUGGCAGACACAUUUCAGGUGUGACAAAGCUGGGCGUGACAGUUCUUCAGGAAUGUUCAAGAAGAAGGGCUCACGCGCAUAUCAAUCACUCUACCCCGGACAUAGUAGAUACGCAAUAGACACCUAAAGAAUAAAUGAAUGGACUCCUUGUCAAACUUUCUACCGGGUUGAUGGACAAAGGAAUGCACUCAAAAGGCAGGUUCUCGAAGAGACUUACAUUCGAUUCAUGACCUCAAAAGAGCAGGCUGGCAACUGCUGUGUUCCACUUUCCCCAUUCCCUCCCUAUUAUUCCCCCCUCACCUUUCCACAUAUCCCAAAUUUCAACAGCUAAAAGGGUCUUUCAUACACAUCUAUAGAAGAUUCAAAACAAAAUGUUGCCGGAUUCAGCAAUAAUCAGCAGUCAAAUUAGAGAUUCCUGCUAUUUCAAAGCUCCACAGAUCAGUGAGGGUGAGUAGAACUCCCACAAGCAGGAUGAAGGCUGAAGGAUGCGGCCUCAGCAACAGUGUCCUGGUAUUUGUUCCAGGUGAGGCGAGCAGUAAGAGUCCCAUGAGACCUAUAGACCAAGGGGACGCUCCCUCUUCUGACUCUGUGCCUUUUUGUUAGGUCCUCAGUGACAUAGUGACACAGCAAGGAAUGUCAUCUUUCUUCUGUAAAUGAAAGCAAAAGCCUAGAUGCAUAAAGCUCAUAUUAUUUCACAUAAUUUUAGAAAUACUGCUAUAAGCUGGGGGAGGGGGGAUAUUAAACUAAAUGGAGGCACUGCUCUUUUCUGCGUCUGAUUCUGUGUGGAGAGAUGCUUCACUGAAGAGCCUAAAUGCUUUGAGAUCAUUAGUUUAGACGAUGAGCUAACCCAAGCCAGCACCCUGCUUUUCUCCUUCUGGCUGAACAAAAGCCAGACACACUCAUUCUACCCGGUUCGGUGUACACUGAACUGCUCUGUGCAAGGAGUACCAGUUGCCUCUAGGUCAUGAAAUAAUACUAAAAACUUUAUAAUCAUUCAUUGAUUUAGUUUUCAGCAUACUAUAUCAUUUGAAUCCAAUGGGAGCAUAAAGAGCUAUUUGUGAGGUCAACCACGGUACAGACAGAUGCUGACAUGCUAUUGAUGGCAAGGUGGAAAGAAAUUGCUAAAUACAGCAGAUCAAUACCUCGUUUCACUGUUACAGCCUUCUGCAGACAUAAAAUAUAUAUCUUUACAGCUACAAAAAUAAUAAUAAUGAAAGUGGGAGAUAAAUGCUUCCCUCAAGGUAAACUAUUUGAUUAGCUAAGGGCAAAGGUGACAGCAGCAGUUACACUAAAGUAACUUUAUAGUCUUAAAUAAAAACAAGAGGAAGAGCAGUAGAUGAAAUGGCAAAGUGAAUCGGGACACAUAGCUGGUUCAGUUAUAACUCUUUUAAAAAACACAGUGAUCAGUAAAAGGGCCACCAAAAAUCUAAGCUUUUUCCUACCAUCCACAAAUCCAAUUUCCUGAGGUCUAUCCUAUCACACGGUUUUACACAAAACAUUUCUAAACAAAAUCUUCUCAGUUACUGAUGGAGAACAAAUCGAGAGCUGAUGAUAAAUAAAUGCUCUGUCAAGUUACAAACAAAAACAAAAACCUUCACCUUCUAGUCUAUAUCUGUUCCAUUUGACCCAAAAUGUUGAAAGCCAACCCUCUCUUUAGUACCUUGUUAGACACAUCCAACAAAUGUAUGGUUCUGGGCCAGAGGGAACUCAUAAUCUCCCCAGGAAAAAGAGAAUUACAUACAAUACUGAUAUAAACAAUAAUAAAAUGUCAAAUGUAAUACAACCAAAUGCCAAGCUGUCAGGUACCACAGGCCAGAAAACGUACCAAAACGUUACCAUACGUUUGGACGAAGGAAAUGAGGUCAUUGAGGCAAGAGAUGAAAGUAAUGACCCUCCAAAGCUCCACGCAAGGGUGGGAACGUGACACGGUUCCUCAGGGGCUGGCCGACUUAAUACAUCAUCAUCACCUUAGCUUUUGGUUCUCCGAGAUGAAACUCUUUUUUUUUUUUCUUUUUCUUUUUU